GCUGGGUACAGUGGCACGUGUCUAUAGUCCUAGCUACUCUAGCUACUCAGGAGGAUCACUUGAGCCCAGGAGUUUGAGGCCAGCCUGAGCAACAUAGGGAGAUCCUGAUU
RNAcentral lists this small RNA (110 nucleotides) under Marmota monax (woodchuck). The record is from RNAcentral. Lineage: Eukaryota; Metazoa; Chordata; Mammalia; Rodentia; Sciuridae.